RNAcentral lists this ribosomal RNA (3105 nucleotides) under uncultured bacterium contig00016. Its description in RNAcentral is "bacterial LSU rRNA". It matches the Rfam family "Bacterial large subunit ribosomal RNA". The record is from RNAcentral.
AGGGCUUACGGUGGAUGCCUUGGCGCCAGGAGCCGAUGAAGGACGCGCGAGGCUGCGAAAAGCCCCGGGGAGCCGCCAACGAGGCAUUGAUCCGGGGGUGUCCGAAUGGGGAAACCCGGCCGGGGUCAUGCCCGGUCACCCAGGUCUGAACACAUAGGGCCUGCGGAGGGAACCGCCCGAACUGAAACAUCUAAGUAGGGCGAGGAAGAGAAAGCAACAGCGACUCCCUCAGUAGCGGCGAGCGAACGGGGACGAGCCUAAACCCGCACAGUGUCAUAGCCCACCGGCGUUGCUGUGCGGGUGUCGUGGGACCCACUGGACGGUGCGGUGGCACCGUCACGGAGUUACAAAACCGGCGGCUAGUCGAACGGUAUGGAAAGGCCGGCCACAGAAGGUAAGAGCCCUGUAGGCGAAAGCCGACCGGUCUCCGAGUGGUGUUCCCGAGUAGCACGGAGCACGUGGAAUUCCGUGUGAAUCCGGGGGGCCCACCCCCCAAGGCUAAGCACUCCCUGGCGACCGAUAGUGAACAAGUACCGUGAGGGAAAGGUGAAAAGUACCCCGGGAGGGGAGUGAAACAGUACCUGAAACCGUGAGCCUACAAGCUGUCGGAGCUCGUUCCUGGGUGACCAGGGCGGGUGACGGCGUGCCUUUUGAAGAAUGAGCCGGCGAGUUAGCGGUGCGUGGCAAGGUUAAGUCUUCAGACGUAGCCGUAGCGAAAGCGAGUCCUAACCGGGCGACAUAGUCGCGUGCCCUAGACCCGAAACCGAGUGAUCUACCCAUGGGCAGGCUGAAGCGGGGGUAAGACCCCGUGGAGGGCCGAACCCACCAGGGUUGAAAACCUGGGGGAUGACCUGUGGGUAGGGGUGAAAGGCCAAUCAAACUCGGUGAUAGCUGGUUCUCCCCGAAAUGCCUUUAGGGGCAGCCUCGGGCGUUCAGCAUCGGGGGUAGAGCACUGCUUGGGCUAGGGGGCCUACAAGCUUACCGAUCUCAGGCAAACUCCGAAUACCGAUGCUCCAGAGCCCGGGAGUGAGGCUGCGGGGGCUAAGCUCCGUAGCCGAGAGGGAAACAACCCAGACCGCCAGCUAAGGUCCCGAAGUCUGUGCUAAGUGGGAAAGGAUGUGGAGUCGCCCAGACAACCAGGAGGUUGGCUUAGAAGCAGCCACCCUUGAAAGAGUGCGUAACAGCUCACUGGUCAAGUGAUUCUGCGCCGAUAAUGUAACGGGGCUCAAGCACAGCACCGAAGCUGCGGCAUUCCUCAUAUGGCUCGGCCGUGCCGGGGUACCGGUACGGUCCAGGCCGAGGGAUGGGUAGGGGAGCGUUCCUGCGCGGGUGAAGCGGCGGGGUAACCCAGCCGUGGAUGCGCAGGAAGUGCGAAUGCCGGCAUGAGUAGCGAAAGUGGGGGGAGGAACCCCACCGCCGAAUGUCCAAGGGUUCCUGGGGAAGGAUCAUCCGCCCAGGGUUAGUCGGGCCCUAAGCCGAGGCCGAGAGGCGUAGGCGAUGGAAGACCGGUUGAUAUUCCGGUACCACCUCAAUCGCGCCAAUCCCGAAUCCAGGUUGCUAAGGAAAGCUCCCCGUCCGGGGAGCCUACCGACCCACCUGGUACUAGGGCAGCGAAGGGGGGACGCAGGAGGGUAGGUGGACCCAGGCGAUGGUCGUCCUGGGGUAAGCGGGUAGGGAGGCUCCCUAGGCAAAUCCGGGGGGCCGUCAAUCCCGAGACGCAAUGCCGAGCCGCAUCAGGCGAAGCCACUGAUCCCACGCUGCCGAGAAAAUCCUCUAGUGAGUGAUUGAGGUGCCCGUACCCCAAACCGACUCAGGUGGACAGGUAGAGAAUACCGAGGCGAUCGAGAGAACCCUGGUUAAGGAACUCGGCAAAUUGCACCCGUAACUUCGGGAGAAGGGUGGCCGCAGUAGAGUGAAGGAGCCUUCGGGCCUCCGGAGCUCGAGGCGGUCGCAGAGACCAGGCCCAAGCGACUGUUUACUAAAAACACAGGUCCAUGCGAAGCCGUAAGGCGCUGUAUAUGGACUGACGCCUGCCCGGUGCUGGAACGUUAAGGGGAUGGGUUAGUGCGGCCUUCGGGUCGCGCGAAGCCCUGAACCGAAGCGCCAGUAAACGGCGGCCGUAACUAUAACGGUCCUAAGGUAGCGAAAUUCCUUGUCGGGUAAGUUCCGACCUGCACGAAUGGCGCAACGACUUGGGCGCUGUCUCAACCAGGGACUCGGCGAAAUUGCACUACGAGUAAAGAUGCUCGUUACCCGCGACAGGACGGAAAGACCCCGGGACCUUUACUGCAGCUUGGUGUUGGGUCUUGGUACGCGUUGCGUAGGAUAGGCGGGAGGCUUUGAAGCCCGGGCUCCGGCUCGGGUGGAGCCAACCUUGAAAUACCGCUCUUCGUGUGCUGGGACUCUAACUUCGGUCCGUAAUCCGGAUCAGGGACAGCGCCUGGUGGGCAGUUUAACUGGGGCGGUUGCCUCCUAAAAGGUAACGGAGGCGCCCAAAGGUACCCUCAGGCCGGUUGGCAAUCGGCCACCGAGUGUAAGGGCAGAAGGGUGCUUGACUGCGAGACAGACAUGUCGAGCAGGUGCGAAAGCAGGGCCUAGUGAUCCGACGGCUCCUAGUGGUAGGGCCGUCGCUCAACGGAUAAAAGGUACCCCGGGGAUAACAGGCUGAUCGCUCCCAAGAGUCCAUAUCGACGGAGCGGUUUGGCACCUCGAUGUCGGCUCGUCUCAUCCUGGGGCUGGAGCAGGUCCCAAGGGUCGGGCUGUUCGCCCGUUAAAGAGGCACGCGAGCUGGGUUUAGAACGUCGUGAGACAGUUCGGUCCCUAUCCGUCGUGGGCGUAGGAAGCUUGAGGGGAGCUGCCCCCAGUACGAGAGGACCGGGGCGGACGGACCUCUGGUGUGCCAGUUGUCGCGCCAGCGGCACGGCUGGUUAGCCACGUUCGGCAGGGAUAAGCGCUGAAAGCAUCUAAGUGCGAAGCUCGCCCCAAGAUGAGGCUUCCCAUCCGCAAGGAGUAAGGCCCCUCGGAGACUACGAGGUAGAUAGGCCGGAGGUGUACGCACGGCAACGUGUUCAGCCGACCGGUACUAAUAGGCCGAGGACUUGGCUC